CCCGUGCACACACGUCCCAUGGCUUGCACGCAUGGCUCCUCCAGGGCAGGAUGCCAGCAGAGCUCCCAGAGCCAUUCCCAGUCACCAGCCAAGGGACAAGGCCUUCUCCUUGCUGAGGGCUGCUGAAUUCCCUGGAGCAUCUCUUUCUUCUGCUUCCUUGCCCAUAAUCGCGAAGCCUGGAUUACUCAAACAAAUUUGGGGCAGUCUUCUGACUUUAAAUAUUUCCUGGAAAGGCUUUGUGAAAAAUGAGCAGCCAAGCAGAUAUAAGUGGUGCAUGUGCAAAAGGAUACCUGUGCCAAAAAAGAAACAAAGUCUGAGUUCAAAACUUCUUGUUCAUGAAAUGUGAAGGAUCUUUAUUCUGGUCUCUGCAAAGGAAAUCCUUCUGGGUGCCUGGAGAAACUGGCUUCUGGAGCGAUGAAAGAAUAAAUCCAAUCUCCUCAGCUUCAUUCAUGAGGACUCAUGAGCUGAGCAAAGAAUCAGAAAGGCAUCUUUCCAAAUGAGACAGGUCCUAGUUAUGUAAAGUGCUCUGCCUCUUUCUGCCCCUCUACAAACCCUUCCCUGCUUUCUGAAGGUUGGAGAGCCCCCAUGGGAGAGGGGUCCAGCAUGAUGCAGUGGGGGAUGCUGUCUGCUGUACCCCAGUGUUUGCUCUCCUCUUCCUUAUUCUCUGCUGUUUGCAAAGUAGGGCUGAGUUGGCUUCUCUGAUAAAGGAUCCUUCACAGACACAAAGAGAGAAACAACUCCAGGUCACUUUGCAAGUUACUGGGAACAAACCAUAGCUGCCCCUGCACCUUGUGAGGGGUGUAAAGCAUGUCUGAUUGCUUAGCCUUCAGCAGGAGGCAGCUUAGGGUGAACCAUUCCUGCUGCUUUGCCACUAUUAAGAUCCAGCAGUACCUUGAUGUUUCCUCACUGGCAAUAAUUUGCAGGAUUAAAUACUUCAAGCCACUCUAAAAUUAGUUCCAGGAGGCAUUUUUUGCUUUCAUUUCAGAGCUCUCGUGAGCCUUUCCUACUCUGUAAAUCUGCUACACCUAAUUACCUGAUGGUUACUGUGCUCUAGAAGAUUUCAAAUAUCUGUCUUUUCCACUGCUCUAAAGACCCAGGUGGGGUUGCAGCACAGAACUUGUACCAGGAAUGUUUGCCAACAGCUGUAAUGAGUUCAGACAGCUUCAUGAGAUGGCCAAAUAAACCACUGCAAACAAAAUUGCCUUUGUCCACUGUGUCCAUUCAGGAUUCAAAGCAAACUUAUUUUUGAGCCUUUAAAAAACAUCUAAGAGAGCCAUUGAAAGUAAUUCUUUUAUGUCUUGAGCUCUUUCCAUCUCUCUAACCCACUGGAGAACUUCUAGAAUCACAGCACAUGUUUUCAGCUUCCAGUGCUGUGGUUUAAGAGUUUGCAAGGAAUACUUGGUAUUUUAUUUUGAGAACACCUGAAGUGCAUGAUGCUGCUGUUUGUCCUAUGCAGGCAUGUCACUAUCAGAGUCAGAGGUAGAAUAAUUUUUGGAGAAGUGAGAAAUCUUAUCACAGCAACAAAAGAAAAAGCAUCACUGGACAAAAGCCCUCUGCACAAAUCCACUGGCCGCAGAAGAUACAGAUUUCUGCUUGGUGUUUCUGGCCACUCUUUUUGGCCCAUGCUGACUAAGGCCAUGCCAUGGUCCUUUCUAUUUUCUUCCCACCCUUCCCUGGCCCCCUUGAGAUUAUUCACUUUCUGAAUAUAUGCAUGUGUCAUGUACAAAAAUCUUACUCUCCUGACCACAGCAGAAAUCCAGAGGGGUUUGUUUCUUCACUUGUGAUUUCAAAGGAUGAUUUUUUCCACUUGGUACCAUGCCCAAAAGAAAUUAUCUUCCACUCUUACUUCUCCUAGUCAUUACACUAUUAGGAUUUUUUAAAACCUGUUUACUCAUUGCUUCUUGAGACACAGGCCCAGCUUCA
Long non-coding RNA from Passer domesticus (house sparrow), 1923 nucleotides. RefSeq lists it as uncharacterized. The record is from RefSeq and is a predicted model, not a curated record. The transcript is spliced from 4 exons. Lineage: Eukaryota; Metazoa; Chordata; Aves; Passeriformes; Passeridae.